UAGUGUUUCAAUCAUAGUUAUUCAAUCAGUUUAUUUGCAUCUGUAUGCACAAUAGAACUGCGCAUUUCCAAAGUUCUAGAAAGAUAAUUGAAUGAAAGAGCAUCCAUGAUUGAAAUAUACUAACCACUGUAGAAGCUAGAAUAAAAUAGUUGUUGGAAUUUUUCGUCAAAAAUUUGAUACUUUUUGCAAUGUAAUCAAUUGAAAAGAACUAAAAAUUCUGGGGUAAAUAGUCAGGUAAAUAAUUAUAUACAAAAGCUGCGGAUUGAUAGGAGACAACUACUCG
Non-coding RNA from Paramuricea clavata, 283 nucleotides. The record is from the annotation of a GenBank genome assembly. NCBI's taxonomy places the organism in Eukaryota, Metazoa, Cnidaria, Anthozoa, Malacalcyonacea, Plexauridae.